Molecule: ribosomal RNA, 429 nt
Filed under: Bacteroidota bacterium
Lineage: Bacteria; Pseudomonadati; Bacteroidota
Description: Bacteroidetes bacterium partial 16S ribosomal RNA
Rfam family: Bacterial small subunit ribosomal RNA
Source: RNAcentral
UAGGGAAUCUUCCGCAAUGGACGCAAGUCUGACGGAGCAACGCCGCGUGAGUGAAGAAGGAUUUCGGUUCGUAAAACUCUGUUGUUAGAGAAGAACAGCGCAUAGAGUAACUGUUAUGCGUGUGACGGUAUCUAACCAGAAAGCCACGGCUAACUACGUGCCAGCAGCCGCGGUAAUACGUAGGUUGCAAGCGUUUUCCGGCUUUAUUGGGCGUAAAGCGAGCGCAGGCGGUCAAUUAAGUCUGAUGUGAAAGCCCCCGGCUCAACCGGGGAGGGUCAUUGGAAACUGGUUGACUGGAGUGCAGAAGAGGAGAGUGGAAUUCCAUGUGUAGCGGUGAAAUGCGUAGAUAUAUGGAGGAACACCAGUGGCGAAGGCGACACUCUGGUCUGUAACUGACGCGGAGGCUCGAAAGCGUGGGUAGCAAACAGG